This 225-nucleotide ribosomal RNA is filed under the name uncultured bacterium. Its description in RNAcentral is "partial 16S ribosomal RNA". It matches the Rfam family "Bacterial small subunit ribosomal RNA", at positions 15 to 230 of the family's 1533-position model. The record is from RNAcentral.
GAUCCUGGCUCAGGACGAACGCUGGCGGCGCGCCUAACACAUGCAAGUCGAGGGGCAGCAUGGUCUUAGCUUGCUAAGGCCGAUGGCGACCGGCGCACGGGUGAGUAACACGUAAUCCAACCUGCCGUCUACUCUUGGACAGCCUUCUGAAAGGAAGAUUAAUACAAGAUGGCAUCAUGAGUCCGCAUGUUCACAUGAUUAAAGGUAUUCCGGUAGACGAUGGGG